CGUCACACUAUCAUUAACUGAAUCCAUAGGUUAAUGAGGCGAACCGGGGGAACUGAAACAUCUAAGUACCCCGAGGAAAAGAAAUCAACCGAGAUUCCCCCAGUAGCGGCGAGCGAACGGGGAGGAGCCCAGAGCCUGAAUCAGUGUGUGUGUUAGUGGAAGCGUCUGGAAAGGCGCGCGAUACAGGGUGACAGCCCCGUACACAAAAAUGCACAUGCUGUGAGCUCGAUGAGUAGGGCGGGACACGUGGUAUCCUGUCUGAAUAUGGGGGGACCAUCCUCCAAGGCUAAAUACUCCUGACUGACCGAUAGUGAACCAGUACCGUGAGGGAAAGGCGAAAAGAACCCCGGCGAGGGGAGUGAAAAAGAACCUGAAACCGUGUACGUACAAGCAGUGGGAGCACGCUUAGGCGUGUGACUGCGUACCUUUUGUAUAAUGGGUCAGCGACUUAUAUUCUGUAGCAAGGUUAACCGAAUAGGGGAGCCGAAGGGAAACCGAGUCUUAACUGGGCGUUAAGUUGCAGGGUAUAGACCCGAAACCCGGUGAUCUAGCCAUGGGCAGGUUGAAGGUUGGGUAACACUAACUGGAGGACCGAACCGACUAAUGUUGAAAAAUUAGCGGAUGACUUGUGGCUGGGGGUGAAAGGCCAAUCAAACCGGGAGAUAGCUGGUUCUCCCCGAAAGCUAUUUAGGUAGCGCCUCGUGAAUUCAUCUCCGGGGGUAGAGCACUGUUUCGGCAAGGGGGUCAUCCCGACUUACCAACCCGAUGCAAACUGCGAAUACCGGAGAAUGUUAUCACGGGAGACACACGGCGGGUGCUAACGUCCGUCGUGAAGAGGGAAACAACCCAGACCGCCAGCUAAGGUCCCAAAGUCAUGGUUAAGUGGGAAACGAUGUGGGAAGGCCCAGACAGCCAGGAUGUUGGCUUAGAAGCAGCCAUCAUUUAAAGAAAGCGUAAUAGCUCACUGGUCGAGUCGGCCUGCGCGGAAGAUGUAACGGGGCUAAACCAUGCACCGAAGCUGCGGCAGCGACGCUUAUGCGUUGUUGGGUAGGGGAGCGUUCUGUAAGCCUGUGAAGGUGUGCUGUGAGGCAUGCUGGAGGUAUCAGAAGUGCGAAUGCUGACAUAAGUAACGAUAAAGCGGGUGAAAAGCCCGCUCGCCGGAAGACCAAGGGUUCCUGUCCAACGUUAAUCGGGGCAGGGUGAGUCGACCCCUAAGGCGAGGCCGAAAGGCGUAGUCGAUGGGAAACAGGUUAAUAUUCCUGUACUUGGUGUUACUGCGAAGGGGGGACGGAGAAGGCUAUGUUGGCCGGGCGACGGUUGUCCCGGUUUAAGCGUGUAGGCUGGUUUUCCAGGCAAAUCCGGAAAAUCAAGGCUGAGGCGUGAUGACGAGGCACUACGGUGCUGAAGCAACAAAUGCCCUGCUUCCAGGAAAAGCCUCUAAGCAUCAGGUAACAUCAAAUCGUACCCCAAACCGACACAGGUGGUCAGGUAGAGAAUACCAAGGCGCUUGAGAGAACUCGGGUGAAGGAACUAGGCAAAAUGGUGCCGUAACUUCGGGAGAAGGCACGCUGAUAUGUAGGUGAAGCGACUUGCUCGUGGAGCUGAAAUCAGUCGAAGAUACCAGCUGGCUGCAACUGUUUAUUAAAAACACAGCACUGUGCAAACACGAAAGUGGACGUAUACGGUGUGACGCCUGCCCGGUGCCGGAAGGUUAAUUGAUGGGGUCAGCGCAAGCGAAGCUCUUGAUCGAAGCCCCGGUAAACGGCGGCCGUAACUAUAACGGUCCUAAGGUAGCGAAAUUCCUUGUCGGGUAAGUUCCGACCUGCACGAAUGGCGUAAUGAUGGCCAGGCUGUCUCCACCCGAGACUCAGUGAAAUUGAACUCGCUGUGAAGAUGCAGUGUACCCGCGGCAAGACGGAAAGACCCCGUGAACCUUUACUAUAGCUUGACACUGAACAUUGAGCCUUGAUG
Molecule: ribosomal RNA, 1971 nt
Filed under: Escherichia coli
Lineage: Bacteria; Pseudomonadati; Pseudomonadota; Gammaproteobacteria; Enterobacterales; Enterobacteriaceae
Description: partial 23S ribosomal RNA
Rfam family: Bacterial large subunit ribosomal RNA
Source: RNAcentral